RNAcentral lists this ribosomal RNA (253 nucleotides) under uncultured bacterium. RNAcentral's name for it is "partial 16S ribosomal RNA". It matches the Rfam family "Bacterial small subunit ribosomal RNA", at positions 524 to 776 of the family's 1533-position model. The record is from RNAcentral.
UACGAAGGGGGCAAGCGUUGUUCGGAAUGACUGGGCGUAAAGGGCGCGUAGGCGGUUCGUUGCGUCAGAUGUGAAAGCCCCGGGCUCAACCUGGGAACUGCAUUUGAUACGGGCGGGCUUGAAUCCAAGAGAGGGUGGUGGAAUUCCCAGUGUAGAAGUGAAAUUCGUAGAUAUUGGGAAGAACACCAGUGGCGAAGGCGGCCACCUGGCUUGGUAUUGACGCUGAGGCGCGAAAGCGUGGGGAGCAAACAGG